CUAAUAUUUAAUUUCAGAUAAUAGGCUGCAAUCUGGAUCUUUGUAUGUGGAUAGCAUGCAGAGGGUCCUGAUCAUUCUGUCCUAUAGAGGGAGAUGGUCUAAUUUAGAUCCUGAGCUACAUUGCACAGCUACUCAGGUUGAAAACUGAUGGCUGGAGAUCCUGAAGGCCUCAUUCCACAACACAUCCAACAGGUCAGGUAAGCACACGCAGCUUGUGGAACAGUCUCAGUCCUUCACCUUCCCUGCCUUCCCAGGAUGGAGAAAGCUCCCUCCCUGCCCCCUUUGUGGGUCCUAUUGUUAAUCCUCUCCUCCUGCAUCUUUUAUAAUAAUCCAGAUCUUUUACCUCUCCAUUGUGUCCAAAAUUCACCAUUAAACUACAAGUGUUAUUUCAAUCCUACUAACAAUUUUAACUGUUUACAAUGGUUUUUAAGAUCAAUUAUAAAUUUCCCCCAUUUGUUAUUAAAAUUUUGGUCUUCCUGAUUUCUGAUUCUUCCAGUCAUUUUAGCCAUUUCGGCAUAAUCCAUCAACUUGAUCUGCCAUUCUUCUCUGGUAGGGACUUUAUCUUCUUUUCCAUCUCUGGGCCAAUGACAUCUGCACAGCCGUGGUCGCAUACAUAAACAGUCUUUUCUGCUCCCUUUGGAUUUUGGCACCUAUAAUUCCUAAAAGGAAGGCUUCGGCUUGUUUUUUUUUAAAAAAGAAAAGGUUAUUUUAAACAUCCCCCCCAACUCUUUGUUUCAUAUGGGUUUGGGUCUGCUUGUUGUUAAGUCUUCUGGUGUUUAUCAGGAGCAAAUAAAACUCAUUACAUUUUUGUUGUUGUUGUUCCUCGCCAAUAAGUAAUAUUAGCAACAUUUCUCAAAGGGGGUGGGCGGGCUACAUCUUUCUAACUGUAUGGCAAUGGGAAGUUUUGUUGACUAUGGUCUAAAGUAGUCUGGCCCCUUGUUCAUUCAUAGAACAGUUAACCAUCACUAUACAAACCCCCACCCCACCCCCAAAUAAAAUACCUGUGGAACCAAUUUUUUUUAAACGGGGGGAAGAUGAGCCUUUUUUGAAAUUGGAUGGCAGUGUAAGGGUUAACGUCUUCUCAUUCAUUUCUGGCACACAGUCUCCUGUUCUUUCCAUGUUUCACUGCACAACCUUGUCAGACAUUCUGAAUGAAUGAGACUUCAAAGGUGGGUAAAGUGUGGGGAGCUACCAGUGAGAGACAUUUAGAAUGUUUAAUUGAAAUGAUGUAUCACCAAGCCUUCUUUACUGCAAGAAUAAGACACUCAAAGAAAAGGGACAGGAAUUCCUACCUUGCCUGGCCAUGCAUUUCAGGUGUGUCUCUUUUGGUCUGGAUGUAUAAAGCUUAAAGUUAUUUCAUGGCCAACAAUCUCAGACUUUUUGCUUUGUUUUCAUCACACGCUUUCAACCAAAAAAUGCAAAACUUACCGAGAUUGAAAUAAUCUUAUAAAAUUGAUUCGAUACUAAUUCACAUAGAACAAACUAAAGUUGUAAUGAUAAAUUCUAAUACUGUAUACAUAUAUCAAUCCACACUGGGAAGUCUUUAUAGCAUAUAUAAUCACUGGCAGACGGCAGUGGGGGCGGGGGUGGCAGGCCGCCCCAGGUGCCAUCGGGGUGGUGCCACCAUGCCCACCCCAGGAC
RNAcentral lists this long non-coding RNA (1641 nucleotides) under Podarcis lilfordi (Lilford's wall lizard). Lineage: Eukaryota; Metazoa; Chordata; Lepidosauria; Squamata; Lacertidae. The record is from RNAcentral.